UGGCGGACGGGUGAGUAACGCGUGGGUAACCUGCCUCAUACAGGGGGAUAACAGUUAGAAAUGACUGCUAAUACCGCAUAAGCGCACAAAACCGCAUGGUUUGGUGUGAAAAACUGAGGUGGUAUGAGAUGGACCCGCGUCUGAUUAGCUAGUUGGAGAGGUAACGGCUCACCAAGGCAACGAUCAGUAGCCGACCCGAGAGGGUGACCGGCCACAUUGGGACUGAGACACGGCCCAAACUCCUACGGAAGGCAGCAG
RNAcentral lists this ribosomal RNA (258 nucleotides) under uncultured bacterium. RNAcentral describes it as "partial 16S ribosomal RNA". It matches the Rfam family "Bacterial small subunit ribosomal RNA", at positions 96 to 354 of the family's 1533-position model. The record is from RNAcentral.